This 429-nucleotide ribosomal RNA is filed under the name Chloroflexota bacterium. RNAcentral's name for it is "Chloroflexi bacterium partial 16S ribosomal RNA". It matches the Rfam family "Bacterial small subunit ribosomal RNA", at positions 355 to 776 of the family's 1533-position model. Lineage: Bacteria; Bacillati; Chloroflexota. The record is from RNAcentral.
UGGGGAAUAUUGCACAAUGGGCGCAAGCCUGAUGCAGCCAUGCCGCGUGUAUGAAGAAGGCCUUCGGGUUGUAAAGUACUUUCAGCGGGGAGGAAGGGAGUAAAGUUAAUACCUUUGCUCAUUGACGUUACACGCAGAAGAAGCACCGGCUAACUCCGUGCCAGCAGCCGCGGUAAUACGGAGGGUGCAAGCGUUAAUCGGAAUUACUGGGCGUAAGGCGCACGCAGGCGGUUUGUUAAGUCAAAUGUGAAUUCCCCAGGCACAAACUGGGAACUGCUACUGAUACUGGCAAGCUUGAGUCUCGUAGAGGGGGGUAGAAUUCCAGGUGUAGCGGUGAAAUGCGUACAGAUCUGGAGGAAUACCGGUGGAGAAGGCGUCCCCCUGGACGACGACUGACGCUCAGGUGCGAAAGCGUGGGGAGCAAACAGG